AAAACAUGUCUUUUUAAAAUUUUUUUAAAGUUGGCCCUGCUCAAUGAGUCAAAUUAAAUAGCCGCGGUAAUUUAACUGUGCAAAGGUAGCAUAAUAAUUAGUCUUUUAAUUGAGGUCUGGAAUGAAUGGGUUGACGAGGAAAUAACUUUAUUUAAUUAAUUUUAUUUAAUUUAAUUUUUAAGUUAAAAAGCUUAAAUAUUUAAGUGGGACGAUAAGACCCUAUAGAUCUUUAUUUUUUCUUUUUUUUGGAUUGUUUAUUGAAUUUAUUUCUUUUAAAAUUGUAAAAUUUAACUGGGGUGGUUGUAAAAAUUUUAAACUUUUAUUCUUUUUUACUUUUUUUUUUGGGUUAAUGGAUCCUUAAAUUUGGAUUUUAAGAAAAAGAUACCUUAGGGAUAACAGCGUUAUAUAUUUGGAGAGUUCUAAUUGAUAAAUAUGUUUGCGACCUCGAUGUUGGAUUAAAAUUAAUUGUGGGGCAGGUUUUACAAUUUUAGGUCUGUUCGACCUUUAAAAUUUUACAUGAUCUGGU
RNAcentral lists this ribosomal RNA (526 nucleotides) under Akotropis fumata. RNAcentral describes it as "partial 16S ribosomal RNA". It matches the Rfam family "Bacterial large subunit ribosomal RNA", at positions 1810 to 2609 of the family's 2925-position model. Lineage: Eukaryota; Metazoa; Arthropoda; Insecta; Hemiptera; Achilidae. The record is from RNAcentral.